Long non-coding RNA from Spinacia oleracea (spinach), 1883 nucleotides. RefSeq lists it as uncharacterized. NCBI's taxonomy places the organism in Eukaryota, Viridiplantae, Streptophyta, Magnoliopsida, Caryophyllales, Amaranthaceae. The record is from RefSeq and is a predicted model, not a curated record. The transcript is spliced from 4 exons.
UGCGACGCAAAUGAAAAAUUUUAGCUUUAAUUUUAGUCAUUUGCGUCGCAGUAUUACUAAACUGCGAGGCAAAUGCCUUUAAAAUGUUCUUAAAGUCAUUUGCGUCGCAGAUUAGUAGAGCUGCGACGCAAUUGAGUCACUCAUUUGCCUCGCAAUAUUACUAAACUGCGAGGCAAAUGACUUUAAAAACCUCUUAAAGUUAUUUGCCUCGCAGUUUAGUAAUACUGCGAGGCAAAUGAAUUUGAAACUUUUCAGAAUUUGGUUUGGCACUCACCUAGCUAUUCUCACUUUGCUCUAACCUAAAUCGAAUGUCUGCUUCUCCUUUCACUGCCUUGUCCUCCUAGCCCGCUUCCUUCCUUGGUCCAACUUCUCACUGCACCCAGGCCAACUGCGAUGGCCGUUCUUCCUCCGGCAAGCAUACUCGUCCUCCGGCCUCUUCUCCCUGCGCGCUGAACCUCGUCUCCUCCUGCGCAGUGGUUGUCCUCUUCUCUGUCGUUCUCACUGCCGCCGCAUCUCCUCGCUGCACACUGUCGUCGCGGCUAACAGCCGCCGCUGCUCUCACAGCCGCCGCGGCUCUCACAUCCGUCGCGGCUCACAACCCCUGCACACCGCCCCUGCACACCUCCCUUACUACCACCGCCCCCUGCACGCCGUCCCUGCUCACAGCCACCGCCCCCUGUGUCGUCUGUCCUCUCUUCAAUAAUUAAUUAGGUAUUAUUUACAUUUAAGAUUGAAUUUUAAUCUUGAUAUUAUUUAGUUGAAUUUUAAUUGUGCAAUUUAAUUAUUAUUGUGGAUAUUUUGAUUGAAUUUUAGUUGUUCAUUUUAGUUGAAUUUUAAGAUUGAAUUAUGAAAGGUGCACACCCGAAAAUAGAAGAACCGGAACAUGGAUAUUGAUGACAGGCAAUAUCUGUCGAAGGAUUGAAGAAUUCCCUACAGACAGACUACAUACAAAAAAUUCUUGGUCUAGGUAUCUGUGCUGACACAAUGAUUGGUGAUGCUAUGAGGAGAGGCAUCUCAGGUGGUCAAAAGAAAAGAUUGACUACAGGUGAGAUGAUUGUUGGGCCGAUUAAGGCGUUCUUUAUGGAUGAAAUUACGAAUGGCUUGGACAGUUCUACUUCAUUUCAGAUUGUUUCAUGUGUUCAACAGUUGGUCCAUGUAACAGAUGCAUCUGCAUUGAUUUUUUUGAGAGCUGUGGUUUUAGGUGUCCUAAGAGGAAGGGAAUAGCUGACUUUCUACAGGAGGUAAGAGUUUCCAACUCUGGUAUCUGGUGAUGCACACUUACCAUUCUGAAGUGACUGCAAUUUUCUCUAGCUUCCAUGAAUUUUUUCUUGAGUUAAACUUUCCAUCCCUUUAUACCUUAGUUACAGGUUAUUUCACAAAAAUGUAUAUAGCUUCUUCUGGGAAUCUGGGAUAGUUAACAAAACAGUAGCUAUGAAACUUUAAGGUUAUGAUUUAAACUUCAAAUCUCCUAAUAAAAAGCACAGAUUUUUUAUUGAUUGAGUCCACUGCUUGUUAAACAUAGUUCCAAUUUUUUUUCUUAAUUUAUUUGCUGCCUGAUUUGUUUUUUUUUCACCGUUUUUUUUUUUUUGCAGUUGGUUAUUUUAGCUCUGUAACAAUGACUGUAUAUAUGCGUACUCGGAUGCAUGUGGACAUUCUUCUUGCUAAUUAUUAUUUGAACGCCAUGUUCUAUGGUCUUAUCGUGCUUCUUACUGACUGAUUUCCAGAAGUGUCUGACUAUCAUGAGACUUCUUGUUUUCUUCAAACAGAGAGACCUCUAUUUCUAUCCCGCUUGGGCCUAUGCAAUCCCCGCCACUAUCAUGAAAAUCCCAUUGUCUAUCUUGCUUGCUACUCUCUGGACAUCACUUACUAUACCAUUGGAUAUG